CGCGGUUAAACCAAGAAAUUAAGUUAUAUUUUUAGGUAAAAAAGUAGUUAGGUUAAAUAAUAAUGUUUAUCAACCCUUUAUAUAAAAGUAAAAUUUAAAUAUAAAUUGCUUGUAUAAUUAUAACUAUAUUGCUGAAGCUACGAAAAUCACGAGGGAAACUGGGAUUAGAUACCCCAUUAUUCUUGAUUGUAAAUAUAAGACUAAUUUACCAGAGUACUAUGAAUACUCAAGAUUUAAAACUCAAAGGGCUUGGCGGUGUUUUAGACCAAUCAGGGGAACCUGUCUCAUAAUCGACAAUCCACGUUAGACCUAACCUACUUUUGCAAACAGCUUGUAUACCGUUGUCGUCAGGUAACUUUUGAAAAUCUAGAAGUUGGCAAUAUUAAUUACUAUAAAUUUAAACGUCAAAUCAAGGUGCAGUUUAUAAGUGGGAGAAGAUGGGUUACAAUUAUAUAUUUAUAAUUACGGAAAAUUAUUAUGAAAUCAGAUUUAAAGGAGGACUUGAAAGUAAAAUAUUUUAGAUAAACAAUUUGAAUAAGGCUCUG
RNAcentral lists this ribosomal RNA (545 nucleotides) under Anentome sp. B LAG-2017. RNAcentral's name for it is "partial 12S ribosomal RNA". Lineage: Eukaryota; Metazoa; Mollusca; Gastropoda; Neogastropoda; Nassariidae. The record is from RNAcentral.